GGAACUUUCUGCUGUUAAUCUAAUCUGGCCAUCCAAUAACCCAAAUGAUCUCUGUAUUAUUACAACUUUAAGAGAGAAGUAAUCUCUCAAUAUAGUAAAUUGCCAAUGGAAUGUCACAUUUAAUAAAUCAUACAGGACAUUAAUGUCAUGUUGUUGCCAUUUUGGCAAUAUUUGAAAACUUGAAACUUUUAAAACGACAAUGAUUUUGGCAACUAUGAGGAAUUGAAAGCUGCUAUGUAAUGUAGCCACAUAAUUGAAUGAAAUCUUAAAUAGCUGAUUGAAUGAAUAGGUGUCAAGUCAAACCUGCAGCAGCCAAGUGAGCUUACUAUUCGGAUAAGGUAUGCAAACACCUUCCCUUUGCUUUACAUAUGAGCCUGAAACGUGGUUCAAAAUACUUGAUCAAGAAAUAAUAUUUCAACAACAAAAAGCUAAUACAAUUUAAAAUAAAAUAUGAGAUGUCUGAAGAUUUAAACCAAUGAAUUUGAAAAUCACCAUCAGACGUCUCUCCAACGUUUGUUCCCUCUGAAUUUCUACAUCAGAAACGAAUUCUUACUGUACACAAUAGAGUAUAAUUAAAUCAUGUGGCUAGUGGCAUAAUGUGUAGCUUAUUUGCCCUGAGAUUUUGCCUCAAAUAAUUACAAUACUAAAUAAUAAUUCGAUCAAUUAAUAUAGCUUACUUCUCUCUACAUUUGAACAAAAGACAAUGUAAAAGAAGAAAACAAAACCAUCCAUCUUAUCCCACCUUCUUCAUUUCGAUUUUAUUUGAUUUCUGAAUUUCAAUUCACCCUGAGACCCCCCAACCCCAAACACCCUCUGAUCCUAAAAAAAAAACCUAAACCCCACUAAACUGCCAACACCAUCUCUUUUACUUGUCUCAAUUUAUACUUAAUUAUGUGUUCUUUUUCCCACAAAAUCCGCAAUAUAUGAAUGUUCUUUGCAUAAAUCAUAUGAGGUGGUGUACAUGUAUAUGCUUUAUGGUCGAUAUUCAAUCUCAGAAAUGGCCCUAAGAAUACCCAACUGGUAAUUCCAUUUAUAUAUAAGAUCAUCAAAAAUUAUCACAUACCAAUAAAAUCAAAUGGGUGGAAUUUAUAAAAUCACCACAAUACUAUCUAUCAGUUACACAUACUUGAUGAUGAAAUAAUUGAAAGAUAUAAAUCACCAUAUGCUGGAAAUGAUCAGGUUAGACAUCAUUCAGAUCCAAAAUUGGUAAAACAAAUUCAAUUAUUAACUCCUUGCCAAUUACAUAACUAUAGUGCGAGAGCGAAUAAGUUCUGAAAAACGAACGGUUCAACAUGAAAUGGGAAAAGAACACAAGCCAACACUACCGAUUUUGCAAAACAUUUCAUACCACUGAUUUAACGGGGGAGAAAACUUAACACAAUUUGUAACAAAAGUUGUCAAAAGUGCUUAAUUUAGUUUGAAUCAAGCUUAUAACCUUGUCACGGUCAUCUUUCAUCUUCAUUUCAUAGAAAUUAAUCAUUACUUCAUCACUUUAAUGACUAUAAAUUUAAUGAAGGAACAUUGUCAAUUUGAAAAAUAUUAUACAUUUUCGAAGUAUAUAUUAUCUAAAAAUAAUAUAUAUUAUCUAAAAACAGGGGAAAUACUACACAUAUUCACUAUCAAACAAUCAGAAAGUUGAGAAAAUGUUCACUAUUGUCAUCUAAAAACAGGGGCAAUAAUCGUGUAACAAAUAUCAUGAUAAUAGUAAUAUCAGAAAUAUCAUGCAAAAAAAAAAAAUGAAAAAGAUGUCCUAGAAACCGCAUCGUCAUCAUCGAUGCCCCAGAACUUUAAUAACAUCAUAUAAAACUACUAUUAAUGCAAACCCCAAUUAAAAAAAAAAAAAAAAAAAAAAAAGCGAAUUAAGAAACCUCAAAUCAUAAGCAAGAACUCCUUAAAUUAAAAUACAUACUGUGAUAAGCAAGAAAACCUCAAAUUCCGUCCAAACUCCUUCAAUUUUGUCGAUAUACUAUCACAUUUUUUGGAAGAAAGAAGACAACUGCGUGCCUGGAGACAAAAUUCUACGUCAUAACCAGACAAAUAAAAAGACAAAGAACCUGAAAAAAAACCCAAUAAAUUUGAAUUUUGAACAUAAAAUGCGACUAUCACUAACCUCUUGAGAAGCAUUUUGGAUGCAUCAAAACUACAGUUUCAAACAUUCCCACGCCCAAAAAUUGUUUAGUAAUUAUUCAGUUGCAGCUUUAAUAUUGUGGGCAUCAGUAAUUUUUGAAAGAUUCAUGUGUUCGUUCCUUUUUAGCAAACGAAAAACAAAAUUAUAUUUCGGGUUGGUUUACACAUGUGAAAUAAAAUUGGAAUUGGGAAGUUACGGAUCGUGAAAACAACUGAUGUACAAAAAAAAAAAAAAAACUUGUUGUGAGAGGUUACGAAUCGUGAGUUGCAGUUAAUUCAGGGGAUGCCAACGUUGAUUUUUUUUUUCUUCUAAAAGUAGUCCCAAGACUUUCAAACAAUUACGAAAAAGCAAACGAAAAAACAUCUUCACUUUUUGACGGGCCUUGUUCUUGAAUCAUAAAACCAUAAAAAAUGAAAAAAUAAAAAUAAACCAACAACACGUAAACUAAAUCCCUGCAUAUCAAAAUUUCUCAUGUAUUUCUUUUACUCGGCUAUGCUUCAGAAAAGAGAAAAUUAUCCGGUUUGUUUAGGCAAAUCAGGAAUAUAUGGAUGGGGGCUCUUUGCUAGGCAAAACAUUGAAGAAGUAGAUAUGCUAAUAAUUCACGUGUCCCAAUUAUUGUUGUUAAUAAUUUAAAAUAAAUGGGUCCAAUCUAAUUCCAACGUUUUUGCUUAAAUUUGGUCCUUUUGCAGAUUAUAGAAAAAUUUGGAGAAGAAAAAUUUCUUACUUGAAAUUUCAACCACCGUUGGCAGUGGCGUUCGCUGGCAGCAAAUGGUCCUUCACUCCGACUGUCGGAUGAUUUUUGUUGAACUUUUGACCGGCGGAUUUUAGAGCUUCAAUUUUCUGGAAAGUAAUAAUUGUUGAAAGAUUUGUGUGAGAAUUUGUGUUAUAUACAGAUGAGACAUGAAAUUUGAGAUGAGAAGAUCUAAAACAAAUGAAGAAAACUGAUUUCAAUCGGCGG
This 3086-nucleotide long non-coding RNA is filed under the name Erythranthe guttata (spotted monkey flower). RNAcentral describes it as "long non-coding RNA (EGUT_LNC002811)". The record is from RNAcentral. Lineage: Eukaryota; Viridiplantae; Streptophyta; Magnoliopsida; Lamiales; Phrymaceae.